This 254-nucleotide unclassified non-coding RNA is filed under the name uncultured Patescibacteria group bacterium. RNAcentral describes it as "contains 16S-23S intergenic spacer region". It matches the Rfam family "Bacterial small subunit ribosomal RNA", at positions 524 to 776 of the family's 1533-position model. The record is from RNAcentral.
UACGGAGGAUCCAAGCGUUAUCCGGAAUUACUUGGCGUAAAGCGUUGCGUAGGGGGCAUAGCAAGUAGGUAGUGAAAGCGUGGGGCUCAACUCCAUAAACAUUAUCUAAACUGCGAAGCUUGAGAAUGAGAGAGGUAGAUGGAAUUUCCAGUGUAGGAGUGAAAUCCGUAGAUAUUGGAAGGAACACCGAUGGCGUAGGCAGUCUACUGGCUCAUUUCUGACACUAAGGCACGAAAGCGUGGGGAGCAAACAGG